AUGCUCACUUCAAAGCACAUAUACUAAAACUGGAACGAUACAGACAUUAGCAUCGCCCCUGUGCAAGUAUGACAGGCAAAUUCGUGAAGCAUUCCAUAUUAAA
Molecule: small nuclear RNA, 103 nt
Organism: Mesoplodon densirostris (Blainville's beaked whale)
Lineage: Eukaryota; Metazoa; Chordata; Mammalia; Artiodactyla; Ziphiidae
Source: RefSeq, a predicted model, not a curated record